Molecule: long non-coding RNA, 1820 nt
Organism: Oreochromis niloticus (Nile tilapia)
Lineage: Eukaryota; Metazoa; Chordata; Actinopteri; Cichliformes; Cichlidae
Exons: 3
Source: RefSeq, a predicted model, not a curated record
UGCUUCUGUGGCUAAAUGGGACCAAAUCUCUGCAGCCAGGCUCGAGCACCUGCGAAAAGACCCCCGCUCCCCUCAUUGUGUCGUGUGGCAUUCGAGUUCCAGAGAAAACUGUGGAACGGUGGAAGCUGUCUUCGCUUGUUACAGGUGCCUCUCCGUGAUUGGUGCAUCCAGGGGACGGAACGUACAGAUUGGCUAACUACCUGGAGACAACGUAUAUGAUGACACCGCCAUGGACGGCCAGUCAUUCAUCCUCGGCUCACCUCAACCGACUGCUGUUUCUUUAUACAGGAGCAUGUAGGGGUGGACUGCCUUUUUAUUUGAUUACCUUUUUCUCAUGUUUUUGUUAGUUAGGGAGAUAAGUCAUUGUCAUUUGUUUUGAUUCUCUUUAUAGGUAAGUUUGGUACAUUCUGUAGAUAAGCUCCCUUUUGUUUGUUGUUUUGCCGUUAGGUCCACCCCAAAGCUAUAGUCCGUUCCUUUUGCUUUGUUAAAAUUCACUCUCUGUAAGUAAAUCACCAUCAAAAUUGUAUUCAUUGUGUGAUGUGCUGCUUGAGGUCACACAGGGAUGGAUCACCCUUAUGUUAUGGUCUGGCCACCCCUCGACAGGCCAUAACAUUAUGGAAUGUUGUUUUUUUUUUUUGUUUGUUUUGUUUUUUUUUGUUGUUGUUUUUUUCCAUUCAGUGUAUACGAGUUAUCACAGAUGAUGGUGAGUACCUAACUCCUAAGCUUUUGUGUUGUUUGGCUUUUGAAAAUUGCUCUCCCUAAAAAACAGUGACAAACAUCAAAAACUACUUGAAAUGUUUCACCAAAGUCCUUUUGUUGUUCACCAAAAAUGUGAUUAAUUGUGUUUAAAAGUUACUAUAUUCUAAAUGCAAAAAGUGCAAGCUACAAGCUAUUUAAAAGCAAGUGCAGAAGUGCAAACAUGAGGUUUUUAUAGAGGUUUUUGGUAAUUGAAGAUAAGGGUAUUCUAAAAAUCCGUUUGCAGUUUUGACAUGUAGACAUGGAAAAUGCUUGACAAAAUAAGUGUAGGUUUAUCUGAGGCACCAGUGUAAAUUUACUUUUUAAAAUACACUGUGGAGAAAGUUAAAUAUUAUCCCAUCAUUUCUCAUUCUGUCUUGUCUGACAGAAGUUAAGUUAGGUCACGCUGACCACAUUUACUCUCCUAAUGGAAUAAUUCCUCAUCAGCUUUUAAAUCAUGUGGACAAAUGGGAAUAUUACUCAUUAUUGAAAACAUGCACAUGGCUUAAUGUCGAGGAAUUAUUCUGCCACAGUUUACCCGCUGUUUAAAGUGGCCAGAAUGCAAAUGAGACAGCCACCGGGCUGAAUAAUGGCUCAGGAAUGAAUGUACAGUUGAAAUGUGAAGCAGGAUGACACCUCUGCUCUGAACCGCCUGCAGUGGUUCAGCUGUUCAGGGCCAUCUUCCACUAACCUUCCUGUCUUCUUAUGUAAAUACAUCUUUGUUAAUGACUUUUUUAGAUGCAAAGCAAUUUAUAGAAUAACCUUGUUCCGCACUGUGUCGCCUCAAAUGGGUGGGAUACAUCUAAUCACCACAUUCUGCCUGUGCAGAGGAAUACUUGAAAUAUAAAACAUUAAAAUUGCCUCUUUGACCCCUGCAUGGAAUUAUGCAUCUAUAGGCUCUACAGUAAAAUGCACACACACAAGUUGUUUGAUAUAUUAUAGUUUGUGUUUACAAUUCAAUUCCAAAACCGUGGGACACUGUAAAUUGUAAUUAAAAAUGUGUAAGUAAGUAAAAUUUAUUUAUAUAGCGCUUUUCACAGAUAAAAAUCACAAAGUACUUUACAACACAAGAAAUGGAAAUAUAA